GAUACCACACUCUAUCUUCUUUGCCACUUUGUAAAGCGUUCAGGACCUUGUACCAGGUUUUACCUUGUACCAGGUGGAAAAGUGUUUUCCUCAUUCUUAUUCUCUAGGGGCCAUUACCGGUUUCACGUUUCCCUCAUUCUUAUUCUCUAGGGGCCAUUACCGGUUUCACGUUUCCCUCAUUCUUAUUCUCUAGGGGCCAUUACCGGUUUCACGUUUCCCUCAUUCUUAUUCUCUAGGGGCCAUUACCGGUUUCACGUUUCCCUCAUUUUUAUUCUCUAGGGGCCAUUACUGGUUUCACGUUUCCCUCAUUUUUAUUCUCUAGGGGCCAUUACCUGUUUCACAUUUCCUUUUUUCCUGUAUGCAUCAUCCUGUGAAGAAGCUGGCAGAGCUCCUUGAUACUUGGGUCAUGGAAUCUGCCUAAUGUCCCCUUUAAAACUGGUUCCUCGUUUAACUUCCAUGUAGUCUGCUCUUACUUGGAUUGCAUCAGUGCUGUAACUGGGUUUGCAGCAUCAGCUUUGUGGUGUUGACAUUGUGGAUGAUUCACACUGAAUCAUCCUGAAAUAAUCCAGCUUUAUAGUGUAUAAGUAGUGCAGUCAAGUUUUCGGCAGUGUUGUUGCCAGGAGAUACCAACUUUGUGUCCUAGGGGGCUUCAUUAGGAGAUGUCAUGGCAAUCCUGCCUUUCCUUCAGAACUGCAUGGGUAAAGCCAGUUCUCCAGAUAUGUACUAGCUAUGAGAUCCAUC
Protopterus annectens (West African lungfish) is the source of this 741-nucleotide long non-coding RNA. RefSeq lists it as uncharacterized. The record is from RefSeq and is a predicted model, not a curated record. The transcript has 2 exons. NCBI's taxonomy places the organism in Eukaryota, Metazoa, Chordata, Ceratodontiformes, Protopteridae.